This 838-nucleotide unclassified non-coding RNA is filed under the name Hevea brasiliensis (rubber tree). The record is from RNAcentral. Lineage: Eukaryota; Viridiplantae; Streptophyta; Magnoliopsida; Malpighiales; Euphorbiaceae.
AUCAUCUUUACUCAAUUCACAGACAGACAUACAUCUUUCCCUCUACAAGAGUCCAAAAUUAGACAAAAACAAGGCUAGAAUGAGGGAAGAAAACCUUAUCAAACUAGAAUAUGAAUGAGACCAUUUAAGGAGAUAAGGUUGGACACAUUCACUUUGUGGCAGAUACUUGACAUCUUUGGACCAACCAAAAAAAAUCCCAUCUAUCUGUUAUUAUCCCAGAAACAUGCUUCAUUAAUCAGUGAAUGGAUAUUGCUCAUACCUAAUUGUACAAUCAUAGAGCACCGAACGAGCUCCAAUCCUGCUUUGACAAGUGGAAAACAUGGUUGUUUUAGCUGCACCAAGACAAGUUGUGCAGUCUGAAGUAGUGAGAUUUCGGUUGCAAGCAGCAUGGCCAUACGCGAAAGCAUUUGGAUAAGGAGAGAUGUUGUAGUAGUCAUAAUUCUUGCUUGUGGGGGUCACAAUCUCUAGUUCUUCAACAACAUAGCUUAGGCUUAUGCCAAAAGGAUCACCCUUUGAGUAAACUCCAGAGUUGCAGAGAACAGUAAGCACCUUUGUAUUGGGAACGCUUCUAACAGUACUAGUGCACAUCAAGAAGCCAAUGAAUGCUAAUAUGAUUGUUUUUGCCAGUUUUGGAGGAAGACCCAUGUGUCUAUUCCUCUUGCUCCCUCGGUUUUGCUUUGAUUUUUGAUCAGAAAUGAAGCUUUCUUUGACUUUUAAAUGCGAGUGCUUGCUGGUUUCUCCAUCAACUCCAUAAUAAAUGUAUUAUUGCCUUUUGUCUUCUUCUUGUUAGUGCUAUUUAAUUUUAUUCUUUUUCAAAAAUUUCUCUCUAGUGCUUGUG